GUUCUCGCUGCAGUCAACAAGCUCUCUCUUCCGAAAUGGUUUCGCGUGUCGUGUUCGCCUGCUUGGUCGUAAUUCUGCUGGCUGCCUGCGCCGUGGCCUUCCCUGACCCAAGCGGAGGAUACGGAGUCCCCACCUAUGGACACGGACGCGUGGGGCACGGAUACGGACACGGGUAUGGGGGCCAUGGCGGUUAUGGCAACGGAUACGGACACAGGCCGCCAUACUGAUGCUGUCCUUGGAUUAUGUCUCCAGUAACACGAUGGGUAAAGAGAUUUUAGCAAAAUAAUGAACAACCAGCUCUUUCUCCUGUUUAAAUCAGCUUGCAGCUUGUCUAAUUGGUCUCUAUCUUGUUUACAAUAAAGGUUGUAUUUUCUUCAA
Long non-coding RNA from Penaeus chinensis, 378 nucleotides. RefSeq lists it as uncharacterized. The record is from RefSeq and is a predicted model, not a curated record. NCBI's taxonomy places the organism in Eukaryota, Metazoa, Arthropoda, Malacostraca, Decapoda, Penaeidae. The transcript has 3 exons.